UACGAAGGGGGCUAGCGUUGUUCGGAAUUACUGGGCGUAAAGCGAGUGUAGGCGGUUUGGUAAGUCGGAUGUGAAAGCCCCGGGCUCAACCCGGGAAGUGCACUCGAUACUGCCAAGCUAGAGUAUCGGAGAGGUUGGUGGAAUUCUCGGUGUAGAGGUGAAAUUCGUAGAUAUCGAGAGGAACACCGGUGGCGAAGGCGGCCAACUGGACGAAUACUGACGCUGAGACUCGAAAGCGUGGGGAGCAAACAGG
RNAcentral lists this ribosomal RNA (253 nucleotides) under uncultured bacterium. RNAcentral's name for it is "partial 16S ribosomal RNA". It matches the Rfam family "Bacterial small subunit ribosomal RNA", at positions 524 to 776 of the family's 1533-position model. The record is from RNAcentral.